UAGGGAAUCUUCCGCAAUGGACGCAAGUCUGACGGAGCAACGCCGCGUGAGUGAAGAAGGAUUUCGGUUCGUAAAACUCUGUUGUUAGAGAAGAACAGCGCAUAGAGUAACUGUUAUGCGUGUGACGGUAUCUAACCAGAAAGCCACGGCUAACUACGUGCCAGCAGCCGCGGUAAUACGUAGGUGGCAAGCGUUGUCCGGAUUUAUUGGGCGUAAAGCGAGCGCAGGCGGUCAAUUAAGUCUGAUGUGAAAGCCCCCGGCUCAACCGGGGAGGGUCAUUGGAAACUGGUUGACUUGAGUGCAGAAGAGGAGAGUGGAAUUCCGUGUGUAGCGGUGAAAUGCGUAGAUAUAUGGAGGAACACCAGUGGCGAAGGCGACUUUCUGGUCUGUAACUGACGCUGAUGUGCGAAAGCGUGGGGAUCAAACAGG
RNAcentral lists this ribosomal RNA (429 nucleotides) under Bacteroidota bacterium. RNAcentral's name for it is "Bacteroidetes bacterium partial 16S ribosomal RNA". It matches the Rfam family "Bacterial small subunit ribosomal RNA", at positions 355 to 776 of the family's 1533-position model. The record is from RNAcentral. Lineage: Bacteria; Pseudomonadati; Bacteroidota.